Molecule: non-coding RNA, 388 nt
Organism: Paramisgurnus dabryanus
Lineage: Eukaryota; Metazoa; Chordata; Actinopteri; Cypriniformes; Cobitidae
Source: RefSeq, a predicted model, not a curated record
GUUAACUACUACAAACAGACAAAGAAAUAAGCUACUUGGAAAAAAGCAUAAGUUGAGGCCUGAAGCCCCGCCUCUUCCUUUGUUUGCUGGCACAUGGAAUGUGGCCAUUCACUCCAUGAACCAGAACAAUCCAAGACUCAGGGCCCCUUGGGUGUGUGGCUCUUCAAGUGGACUACAAGUGGCUCUACAAGACAUGGCGGCCUAGGGAAGCGUAGCUCCGCCCUCGUCACUCAAUGACGUCUUGAACGUGGCAGCGGGACUGCACAGACACAGCACAGCAGUAUUACAACUUAGGUAGAAUAGGAGGGAUGGACGUCACCUGGCCGUGAUCCAUGGCGGACGACAGGAAAGUUGCACACCACCGCAGCAGGUGCCCUCACAAUGCUAC